GAUGAACGCUGGCGGCGUGCCUAAUACAUGCAAGUCGAGCGAACGGACGAGAAGCUUGCUUCUCUGAUGUUAGCGGCGGACGGGUGAGUAACACGUGGAUAACCUACCUAUAAGACUGGGAUAACUUCGGGAAACCGUAGCUAAUACCGGAUAAUAUUUUGAACCGCAUGGUUCAAAAGUGAAGGACGGUCUUGCUGCCACUUAUAGAUGGAUCCGCGCUGCAUUAGCUAGUUGGUAAGGUAACGGCUUACCAAGGCAACGAUGCAUAGCCGACCUGAGAGGGUGAUCGGCCACACUGGAACUGAGACACGGUCCAGACUCCUACGGGAGGCAGCAGUAGGGAAUCUUCCGCAAUGGGCGAAAGCCUGACGGAGCAACGCCGCGUGAGUGAUGAAGGUCUUCGGAUCGUAAAACUCUGUUAUUAGGGAAGAACAUAUGUGUAAGUAACUGUGCACAUCUUGACGGUACCUAAUCAGAAAGCCACGGCUAACUACGUG
Molecule: ribosomal RNA, 497 nt
Filed under: uncultured bacterium
Lineage: Bacteria
Description: partial 16S ribosomal RNA
Rfam family: Bacterial small subunit ribosomal RNA
Source: RNAcentral